This 326-nucleotide ribosomal RNA is filed under the name uncultured eukaryote. Its description in RNAcentral is "partial 18S ribosomal RNA". It matches the Rfam family "Eukaryotic small subunit ribosomal RNA", at positions 1470 to 1796 of the family's 1831-position model. The record is from RNAcentral.
CCCUUAGAUGUUCUGGGCCGCACGCGCGCUACACUGAUGCAUUCAACAAGCCUAGCCUUGACCGAGAGGUCCGGGUAAUCUUUGAAACUGCAUCGUGAUGGGGCUAGAUUAUUGCAAUUAUUAAUCUUCAACGAGGAAUGCCUAGUAAGCGUGAUUCAUCAAAUCGCGUUGAUUACGUCCCUGCCCUUUGUACACACCGCCCGUCGCUCCUACCGAUUGAAUGUGUUGGUGAGGAGCUCGGAUUGGCAGCAGUUGGUGGUUCGCCACCGGCUAUUGCUGAGAAGUCUUCCAAACCGCCCCAUUUAGAGGAAGGAGAAGUCGUAACA